This is a non-coding RNA of Nippostrongylus brasiliensis, 64 nucleotides long. NCBI's taxonomy places the organism in Eukaryota, Metazoa, Nematoda, Chromadorea, Rhabditida, Heligmosomidae. The record is from Rfam.
ACAUCGGUAGCACAGUGGUUAGUGCAGAAACAGAAAGACGCGGGUUCAAUUCCCGUCCGAUGUC